RNAcentral lists this ribosomal RNA (303 nucleotides) under uncultured bacterium. RNAcentral describes it as "partial 16S ribosomal RNA". It matches the Rfam family "Bacterial small subunit ribosomal RNA", at positions 507 to 807 of the family's 1533-position model. The record is from RNAcentral.
AGCAGUCGCCGCGGGAACACGUAGGUGGCAAGCGUUGUCCGGAAUUAUUGGGCGUAAAGGGCUCGCAGGCGGUUUCUUAAGUCUGAUGUGAAAGCCCCCGGCUCAACCGGGGAGGGUCAUUGGAAACUGGGAAACUUGAGUGCAGAAGAGGAGAGUGGAAUUCCACGUGUAGCGGUGAAAUGCGUAGAGAUGUGGAGGAACACCAGUGGCGAAGGCGACUCUCUAGUCUGUAACUGACGCUGAGGAGCGAAAGCGUGGGGAGCGAACAGGAUUAGAUACCCGUGUAGUCCCUGUCUCUUAUAC